CACGGCAGGAACCGGGAUCAAAAGCGUUAGCUAGUUGGCUCAUCAUCUCUUGGUCAUUCUUUUCGCAAGAAAAGGCCCCGGACCCCCUGUGGGGAAUUUGCAGGAAAAAAUGGAGAGAUCUUUCUCCGGAAACUUGAUCUGAAAUCAGGUAGGACUACCCGCUGAACUUAA
RNAcentral lists this unclassified non-coding RNA (171 nucleotides) under uncultured fungus. RNAcentral describes it as "sequence contains ITS1". Lineage: Eukaryota; Fungi. The record is from RNAcentral.